This 464-nucleotide ribosomal RNA is filed under the name uncultured bacterium. RNAcentral's name for it is "bacterial SSU rRNA". It matches the Rfam family "Bacterial small subunit ribosomal RNA", at positions 335 to 792 of the family's 1533-position model. The record is from RNAcentral.
ACUCCUACGGGAGGCAGCAGUGGGGAAUAUUGCACAAUGGGCGCAAGCCUGAUGCAGCCAUGCCGCGUGUGUGAAGAAGGCCUUCGGGUUGUAAAGCACUUUCAGUCGUGAGGAAGGUGGUAGUGUUAAUAGCACUAUCAUUUGACGUUAGCGACAGAAGAAGCACCGGCUAACUCCGUGCCAGCAGCCGCGGUAAUACGGAGGGUGCGAGCGUUAAUCGGAAUUACUGGGCGUAAAGCGCAUGCAGGUGGUUUGUUAAGUCAGAUGUGAAAGCCCGGGGCUCAACCUCGGAAUAGCAUUUGAAACUGGCAGACUAGAGUACUGUAGAGGGGGUAGAAUUUCAGGUGUAGCGGUGAAAUGCGUAGAGAUCUGAAGGAAUACCGGUGGCGAAGGCGGCCCCCUGGACAGAUACUGACACUCAGAUGCGAAAGCGUGGGGAGCAAACAGGAUUAGAUACCCUGGUA